RNAcentral lists this ribosomal RNA (838 nucleotides) under fungal sp. MS316. RNAcentral's name for it is "eukaryotic LSU rRNA". The stretch from base 566 to 838 matches the Rfam family "Eukaryotic large subunit ribosomal RNA", at positions 1 to 265 of the family's 3401-position model. Lineage: Eukaryota; Fungi. The record is from RNAcentral.
AAGGGGUUGUAGCUGGCCUUUUCGUUUGAGAGGCAUUUUGUGCACACCCUGAUCAUCAUCCAUUUCAGACACCUGUGCACAUACUGUAGGUUGGUUUGUGAGGCAGGCACUUUCAUCGGUGCAGCUUUGUGAGCCUUCCUAUGUUUUUAUUAUAAACAACUGUCGUUUAAAGAAUGUUUAUUGCGUGCAACGCAUCUACAUAUACAACUUUCAGCAACGGAUCUCUUGGCUCUCGCAUCGAUGAAGAACGCAGCGAAAUGCGAUAAGUAAUGUGAAUUGCAGAAUUCAGUGAAUCAUCGAAUCUUUGAACGCAUCUUGCGCUCCUUGGUAUUCCGAAGAGCAUGCCUGUUUGAGUGUCAUGGAAUUCUCAACCUCAUUUGCUUCUGUGAAUGAGGCUUGGAUUUGGAGGUGUUUGCUGGAUUUGUAUGUUCAGCUCCUCUUGAAUUCAUUAGCUCGAGCCUUUUGCGGAUCGGCCUCAGUGUGAUAAUUAUCUACGCUGUUCUGUGAAGCAUUACACUGUGGGUUUCGGCUUCCAAUUGUCUUUGCGGACAACAAAUUUGAUCUUUGACCUCAGAUCAGGUAGGAUUACCCGCUGAACUUAAGCAUAUCAAUAAGCGGAGGAAAAGAAACUAACAAGGAUUCCCCUAGUAACUGCGAGUGAAGCGGGAAAAGCUCAAAUUUAAAAUCUGGCGGUCUUUGGCCGUCCGAGUUGUAGUCUGGAGAAGUGCUUUCCGCGCUGGACCGUGUACAAGUCUCUUGGAACAGAGCGUCAUAGAGGGUGAGAAUCCCCGUCUUUGAUACGGACUACCCGGUGCUUUGUGAUGCGCUCUCAAAGAGU